Molecule: ribosomal RNA, 292 nt
Filed under: uncultured bacterium
Lineage: Bacteria
Description: partial 16S ribosomal RNA
Rfam family: Bacterial small subunit ribosomal RNA
Source: RNAcentral
GUGCCAGCCGCCGCGGUAAUACAGAGGGGGCAAGCGUUGUUCGGAAUUACUGGGCGUAAAGGGCGCGUAGGCGGCCUGUUAAGUCGAACGUGAAAUCCCCGGGCUCAACCCGGGAACUGCGUCCGAUACUGGCAGGCUUGAAUCCGGGAGAGGGAUGUGGAAUUCCAGGUGUAGCGGUGAAAUGCGUAGAUAUCUGGAGGAACACCGGUGGCGAAGGCGGCAUCCUGGACCGGUAUUGACGCUGAGGCGCGAAAGCCAGGGGAGCAAACGGGAUUAGAUACCCCCGUAGUCC